CUUCCGUUAAUUGAUUAUGACGUACUUGUACUGAUUGAGAUUUUAACACGAAGUGAGUGGCGAACGGGUGAGUAACACGUGGGUAACCUGCCCAGAAGUAGGGGAUAACACCUGGAAACAGAUGCUAAUACCGUAUAACAGAGAAAACCGCAUGGUUUUCUUUUAAAAGAUGGCUCUGCUAUCACUUCUGGAUGGACCCGCGGCGUAUUAGCUAGUUGGUGAGGCAAAGGCUCACCAAGGCAGUGAUACGUAGCCGACCUGAGAGGGUAAUCGGCCACAUUGGGACUGAGACACGGCCCAGACUCCUACGGGAGGCAGCAGUAGGGAAUCUUCCACAAUGGACGCAAGUCUGAUGGAGCAACGCCGCGUGAGUGAAGAAGGGUUUCGGCUCGUAAAGCUCUGUUGUUAAAGAAGAACGUGGGUAAGAGUAACUGUUUACCCAGUGACGGUAUUUAACCAGAAAGCCACGGCUAACUACGUGCCAGCAGCCGCGGUAAUACGUAGGUGGCAAGCGUUAUCCGGAUUUAUUGGGCGUAAAGCGAGCGCAGGCGGUCUUUUAAGUCUAAUGUGAAAGCCUUCGGCUCAACCGAAGAAGUGCAUUGGAAACUGGGAGACUUGAGUGCAGAAGAGGACAGUGGAACUCCAUGUGUAGCGGUGAAAUGCGUAGAUAUAUGGAAGAACACCAGUGGCGAAGGCGGCUGUCUGGUCUGCAACUGACGCUGAGGCUCGAAAGCAUGGGUAGCGAACAGGAUUAGAUACCCUGGUAGUCCAUGCCGUAAACGAUGAUUACUAAGUGUUGGAGGGUUUCCGCCCUUCAGUGCUGCAGCUAACGCAUUAAGUAAUCCGCCUGGGGAGUACGACCGCAAGGUUGAAACUCAAAAGAAUUGACGGGGGCCCGCACAAGCGGUGGAGCAUGUGGUUUAAUUCGAAGCUACGCGAAGAACCUUACCAGGUCUUGACAUCUUCUGACAGUCUAAGAGAUUAGAGGUUCCCUUCGGGGACAGAAUGACAGGUGGUGCAUGGUUGUCGUCAGCUCGUGUCGUGAGAUGUUGGGUUAAGUCCCGCAACGAGCGCAACCCUUAUUACUAGUUGCCAGCAUUAAGUUGGGCACUCUAGUGAGACUGCCGGUGACAAACCGGAGGAAGGUGGGGACGACGUCAAAUCAUCAUGCCCCUUAUGACCUGGGCUACACACGUGCUACAAUGGAUGGUACAACGAGUCGCGAGACCGCGAGGUUAAGCUAAUCUCUUAAAACCAUUCUCAGUUCGGACUGUAGGCUGCAACUCGCCUACACGAAGUCGGAAUCGCUAGUAAUCGCGGAUCAGCAUGCCGCGGUGAAUACGUUCCCGGGCCUUGUACACACCGCCCGUCACACCAUGAGAGUUUGUAAC
Molecule: ribosomal RNA, 1391 nt
Filed under: Pediococcus pentosaceus
Lineage: Bacteria; Bacillati; Bacillota; Bacilli; Lactobacillales; Lactobacillaceae
Description: bacterial SSU rRNA
Rfam family: Bacterial small subunit ribosomal RNA
Source: RNAcentral